GAUGAACGCUGGCGGCGUGCCUAAUACAUGCAAGUCGAGCGAACAGACGAGGAGCUUGCUCCUCUGACGUUAGCUGCGUACGGGUGAGUAACACGUGGAUAACCUACCUAUAAGUCUGGGAUAACUUCGUGAAACCGGAGCUAAUACCGGAUAAUAUAUUAAACCGCAUGGUUCAAUAGUGAAAUACGGUUUUGCUGUCACUUAUAGAUGGAUCCGCGCCGCAUUAGAUAGUUGGUAAGGUAACGGCUUACCAAGGCAACGAUGCGUAGCCGACCUGAGAGGGUGAUCGGCCACACUGGAACUGAGACACGGUCCAGACUCCUACGGGAGGCAGCAGUAGGGAAUCUUCCGCAAUGGGCGAAAGCUUGACGGAGCAAAGCCGCGUGAGUGAUGAAGGUCUUCGGAUCGUAAAACGCUGUUAUUAGGGAAGAACAAAUGUGUAAGUAACUAUGCACGUCUUGACGGUACCCAAUCAGAAAGCCACGGCUAACUACGUG
RNAcentral lists this ribosomal RNA (497 nucleotides) under uncultured bacterium. Its description in RNAcentral is "partial 16S ribosomal RNA". It matches the Rfam family "Bacterial small subunit ribosomal RNA", at positions 28 to 507 of the family's 1533-position model. The record is from RNAcentral.